Molecule: ribosomal RNA, 389 nt
Filed under: Dinophyceae sp.
Lineage: Eukaryota; Dinophyceae
Description: partial small subunit ribosomal RNA
Rfam family: Eukaryotic small subunit ribosomal RNA
Source: RNAcentral
AUUCCAGCUCCAAUAGCGUAUAUCAAACGUGUUUUAGUUAAAAAGUUUAUAGUUGGAUUUCUGCUGAGGACAACCGGUCCGCCUUCUGGGUGAGUAUGUGGUUUGGUUUUAACGUUUUCUUGGAGAACGUAGCUGCAAUUGAUUGUGAGGAGCGGUAUCCAGGAUUUUUACUUUCAGGAAAUUAUAGUGUUUCAAACAGGCACACGCCUUGAAUACAUUAGCAUGGAAUAAUAAGAUAGAACCUUGGUUCUAUGUUGUGGGUUUAUAAAGUUGAGGUAAUGAUUAAUAGGGAUAGUUGGGGGCAUUCGUAUUUAAUUGUCAGAGGAGAAAUUCUUGGAUUUGUCAAAGACGGACUACUGCGAAAGUAUUUGCCAAGGAUGUCUUCAUUG